UGAGGAAUAUUGCACAAUGGGCGCAAGCUUGAUGCAGCAACGCCGCGUGCGGGACGAAGGCCUUCGGGUCGUAAACCGCUUUUCUGGGGGAAGAGCAAGGACGGUACCUCAGGAAUAAGUCUCGGCUAACUACGUGCCAGCAGCCGCGGUAAAACGUAGGAGGCGAGCGUUAUCCGGAUUUACUGGGCGUAAAGCGCACGCAGGCGGCUCUGUUAGUCGGACGUGAAAGCUCUCGGCUUAACCGGGAGAGGCCGUUCGAUACUGCGGGGCUUGAGGUAGGGAGAGGAAUGCGGAAUUCCCGGUGUAGUGGUGGAAUGCGUAGAUAUCGGGAGGAACACCUGUGGCGAAAGCGGCAUUCUGGCCCUCACCUGACGCUGAGGUGCGAAAGCGUGGGUAGCAAACA
RNAcentral lists this ribosomal RNA (403 nucleotides) under uncultured bacterium. RNAcentral describes it as "bacterial SSU rRNA". It matches the Rfam family "Bacterial small subunit ribosomal RNA", at positions 355 to 774 of the family's 1533-position model. The record is from RNAcentral.